Molecule: ribosomal RNA, 899 nt
Filed under: uncultured bacterium
Lineage: Bacteria
Description: bacterial SSU rRNA
Rfam family: Bacterial small subunit ribosomal RNA
Source: RNAcentral
CAUGUGAAAGNCACGGCUCACCGUGAGGAGCGUGGGAUACGCUCAGGCUAGACGGUGGAGAGGGUGGUGGAAUUCCCGGAGUAGCGGUGAAAUGCGCAGAUACCGGGAGGAACGCCGAUGGCGAAGGCAGCCACCUGGCUCACUUGUGACGCUGAGGCGCGAAAGCGUGGGGAGCAAACCGGAUUAGAUACCCGGGUAGUCCACGCCCUAAACGAUGCGCGCUAGGUCUCUGGGUUUGCUGGGGGCCGAAGCCAACGCGUUAAGCGCGCCGCCUGGGGAGUACGGCCGCAAGGCUGAAACUCAAAGGAAUUGACGGGGGCCCGCACAAGCGGUGGAGCAUGUGGUUUAAUUCGAAGCAACGCGAAGAACCUUACCAGGCCUUGACAUGCUAGGGAACCUGGGUGAAAGCCUGGGGUGCCCCGCGAGGGGAGCCCUAGCACAGGUGUUGCAUGGCCGUCGUCAGCUCGUGUCGUGAGAUGUUGGGUUAAGUCCCGCAACGAGCGCAACCCUUGCCGUUAGUUGCCAGCGGGUGAAGCCGGGCACUCUAACGGGACUGCCUGCGAAAGCAGGAGGAAGGCGGGGACGACGUCUGGUCAUCAUGGCCCUUACGGCCUGGGCGACACACGUGCUACAAUGCCCUCUACAGAGCGAGGCGACCUGGCGACGGGGAGCGAAUCGCAAAAAGGUGGGCGUAGUUCGGAUUGGGGUCUGCAACCCGACCCCAUGAAGCCGGAAUCGCUAGUAAUCGCGGAUCAGCCAUGCCGCGGUGAAUACGUUCCCGGGCCUUGUACACACCGCCCGUCACGCCAUGGGAGCGGGUUCUACCCGAAGUCGCCGGGAGCCUUAGGGCAGGCGCCGAGGGUAGGGCCCGUGACUGGGGCGAAGUCGUAACAAGGUAA